This 252-nucleotide ribosomal RNA is filed under the name uncultured bacterium. RNAcentral describes it as "partial small subunit ribosomal RNA". It matches the Rfam family "Bacterial small subunit ribosomal RNA", at positions 26 to 285 of the family's 1533-position model. The record is from RNAcentral.
AGGAUGAACGCUGGCGGCGUGCCUAACACAUGCAAGUCGAGCGGAAAGGCCCUUCGGGGUACUCGAGCGGCGAACGGGUGAGUAACACGUGAGUAAUCUGCCUUCAGCUCUGGGAUAGCUCCGGGAAACCGGGAUUAAUACCGGAUAUGACCACUUCGGACAUCUGUUGUGGUGGAAAGUUUUUCGGCUGGAGAUGAGCUCGCGGCCUAUCAGCUUGUUGGUGGGUAAAGGCCUACAAGGCGACGACGGGUA